AAUUUGAUUUGGUUUAAAAGAAAAAACUUCUAGUUUUUUUAUACAAUUUUUAUAAAAUCUUUUGUAGAAAAUUUAUUUUAUUUAAUAAUAAAAAAUUAUUAAGAAUUAGAAAAGUAAUCUAGCUAAAUUUGUGCCAGCAGCAGCGGUUAAACAAAUAGAAUAAUUCUUCUUUUAAUAAAAUUUAAAAGAAAAAUAAAAUUUUUGUUAAAAAUUAAGGUGAAAUUUAUUUUUAAAAUUAUUUAAGAUAAAAUUAUAAUUCUUAUAAUAAACUAGGAUUAGAUACCCUAUUAUUUAAGAGCUGAAUAUUGUUAGUAUAUAAAGAUUAUGAAAGCAAAAAGUUAUGGCGGUAUUUUAAGCUUUUCAGAGGAAUUUGCUCUUUAAUGGAUAAAACACCAAAAUCUCACUUAAAUUUGUCAAAUCAACUUGUAUACCACUAUUAAAACAAUUAUUAACUCUAAUUGUUAAUAUUUAAAAUUUUAUAAUUAAUUAAAAUUAAGUCAAGGUGCAGUAAAAAUUUAAGAAUGAAGUGAAUUACAUUACUUUUAAGGGAAAUAAAAUUAAAUAAAUAUUAGGAUUUGAAAGUAAAAUUAAAAUAGAAUGUUAAUUUGAAUUAAGCUCUAAAAUAUGUACAUAUCGCCCGUCACUCUUUUUUAAGAUAAGUCGUAACAAAGUUAAAAUACUGGAAAGUGUUUU
Molecule: non-coding RNA, 693 nt
Filed under: Rhipicephalus zambeziensis
Lineage: Eukaryota; Metazoa; Arthropoda; Arachnida; Ixodida; Ixodidae
Source: RNAcentral